CCACUGGGACAGAGCUUUCCCUCGGGCAUUUAAAGCAGCAGCAGACACCAGCCUCGUCAUCCUCGGGAUCUGCAUAAGUGUGUCCAGCUGGGAAAAGGACCUGUGGGCUCAGGGUCCUUCCCAGCAGGGAAAUACAAUUUCAGAAGCAGCUUCUUCCCCGUACAAGGGGCUGGGUCAGCAGGGAUGAGGAAGGAAGCAGUGGGAGGGAUGAAGGAGCUGAGCCGUGCCAGGCCCGUGCAGCUGCAGCCAAGCCAGAUCCUGCAGGAGCCUCACUCUGUGCUGCAGAGGGGAAUAUGUGUGUGUGCUAAAAAACAGCGGCUGGGGACAAACCCCUUGGUAUUGACUGCCAAAAUCUCCUUCUAAGAGUCCUGUUUUUCUGCUUGCCCUGCAGUAGGAGCUCCCACUGAGGUGGCUUUUAGCCCCAGGACUUUCUGCUGGGAUAUUCCUCUCCAAGAGCUGUGAUUACACAAGCCACGCUCUCUGCCUGAUCCAGCCUUGAUGGACAGAUGGGCAGUUCAGGCACAGGUCACAUCCACGAGGAGCCUUGGUCAAAGAAAAUAUAUGAUAAAUUGAUUUUAUUUAUUUUUUUGGUCUUUGGAGAGGAAGCAGAAACAGCUGUAUCUCAUUUGGAGAGGAAAUCCAGGCCUCCCCUGGACGCUCGGUGGGUGCCAGGGAGGUGAGCUGUCAGCAGACACACUCUUCUCUCCAUUUGAACAGUAAAUCUCUGUGUGCUGCGGUGUGACUGCACAGACAGGCAGCACUGUGGCUUCCAAGGCUUCUCAUCUCUCAUGCUUUUGGUUCUGAGCCUUGGUGGGAGCUUGGGACAGGCGGGGAUGGUCCCUCCCCUCCCAGUGUGGUGAUGCCCUGGCUGUGCUGCUCCUGCAGCAGGGAGAGAGAGAAGCUGAGAGCAAAUCCCAGCUUUUAUCCCCUCUGGGACAGCAAAAGCUGUUGGGUGCUGGUGCCCAGCACAAAACUUCCCUGCUUUGGUGACCUGAAAUGCCACCGUUGGUGACCCUGAAGAAAAGGGCUGUGCUUCCUCUGCCAUUAUUUCCUAAGCUUGGGCUGAGAUCAGACCGUGG
RNAcentral lists this long non-coding RNA (1079 nucleotides) under Parus major (Great Tit). RNAcentral's name for it is "lncRNA (ENSPMJG00000009941.1)". The record is from RNAcentral. Lineage: Eukaryota; Metazoa; Chordata; Aves; Passeriformes; Paridae.